This 145-nucleotide microRNA precursor is filed under the name Gossypium arboreum. RNAcentral's name for it is "MIR7502 microRNA precursor family". It matches the Rfam family "MIR7502 microRNA precursor family". Lineage: Eukaryota; Viridiplantae; Streptophyta; Magnoliopsida; Malvales; Malvaceae. The record is from Rfam by way of RNAcentral.
UGUUAAAAAUUUCAUUCAUUUGUAUUGUUGAAAAUUAAGGUGGUCGACAGAAUAACCAAAUAAUGACACAUAACAUGUUACAUAUAUCUCGUAUUAACGUAUAGAAACCAAUUUUUACUAGUAAAAAUAGAAGAAAUUUUUAAUA